This 440-nucleotide ribosomal RNA is filed under the name uncultured bacterium. RNAcentral describes it as "partial 16S ribosomal RNA". It matches the Rfam family "Bacterial small subunit ribosomal RNA", at positions 338 to 795 of the family's 1533-position model. The record is from RNAcentral.
CCUACGGGUGGCAGCAGUGGGGAAUAUUGGACAAUGGGGGGAACCCUGAUCCAGCGACGCCGCGUGAGUGAAGAAGUAUUUCGGUAUGUAAAGCUCUAUCAGCAGGGAAGAAAAUGACGGUACCUGCCUAAGAAGCCCCGGCUAACUACGUGCCAGCAGCCGCGGUAAUACGUAGGGGGCAAGCGAUAUCCGGAUUUACUGGGUGUAAAGGGAGCGUAGACGGUGCAGCAAGUCUGAUGGGAAAGGGCGGGGCCCAACCCCGGGACUGCAUUGGAACCUGGUGAACUUGAGUACAGGAGAGGUAAGCGGAAUUCCUAGUGUAGCGGUGAAAUGCGUAGAUAUUAGGAGGAACACCAGUGGCGAAGGCGGCUUACUGGACUGUAACUGACGUUGAGGCUCGAAAGCGUGGGGAGCAAACAGGAUUAGAUACCCUGGUAGUC